CUACGGGAGGCUGCAGGCGCGAAACCUUUACAAUGCACGCAAGUGUGAUAAGGGGAUCCUAAGUGCUCAUGCAUAGCAUGGGCUUUUGCCAAGAGUAAAUAUCUUGGAGAAUAAGUGGUGGGUAAGACUGGUGCCAGCCGCCGCGGUAACACCAGCGCCACGAGUGGCAUCCACGUUUAUUGGGCCUAAAGCGUCCGUAGCCGGUUUGGUAAAUUUCUUGUGAAAUCGUCGGGCUCAACCCGACGGCGCGCUUGAAACACUGCCAGACUUGAGACCGGGAGGAGUUAGAGGUAUUCCAGGGGGAGCGGUAAAAUGUGAUAAUCCCUGGAGGAUCACCUAUGGCGAAGGCAUCUAACCAGAACGGAUCUGACGGUCAGGGACGAAGGCUAGGGGAGCGAUCCGGAUUAGAUACCCAGUAGUC
Molecule: ribosomal RNA, 421 nt
Filed under: uncultured archaeon
Lineage: Archaea
Description: partial 16S ribosomal RNA
Rfam family: Archaeal small subunit ribosomal RNA
Source: RNAcentral